This 543-nucleotide ribosomal RNA is filed under the name halophilic archaeon. Its description in RNAcentral is "Archaeal small subunit ribosomal RNA". It matches the Rfam family "Archaeal small subunit ribosomal RNA", at positions 400 to 943 of the family's 1478-position model. Lineage: Archaea; Methanobacteriati; Methanobacteriota; Halobacteria; Halobacteriales. The record is from Rfam by way of RNAcentral.
GUCCUCGCUUUUCUGAACCGUAAGGUGGUUCAGGAACAAGGGCUGGGCAAGACCGGUGCCAGCCGCCGCGGUAAUACCGGCAGCCCGAGUGAUGGCCGCUAUUAUUGGGCCUAAAGCGUCCGUAGCCUGCCAGACAGGUCCAUCGGGAAAUCUGCUCGCUCAACGAGCAGGCGUCCGGUGGAAACCAGCUGGCUUGGGGCCGGAAGACCCAGGGGGUACGUCCGGGGUAGGAGUGAAAUCCCGUAAUCCUGGACGGACCACCAAUGGCGAAAGCACCCUGGGAGGACGGACCCGACGGUGAGGGACGAAAGCUAGGGUCACGAACCGGAUUAGAUACCCGGGUAGUCCUAGCUGUAAACGAUGCUCGCUAAGUGUGGCACACGCUACGAGCGUGUGCUUCGCUGCAGCGAAGGCGUAAGCGAGCCGCCUGGGAAGUACGUCCGCAAGGAUGAAACUUAAAGGAAUUGGCGGGGGAGCACUACAACCGGAGGAGCCUGCGGUUUAAUUGGACUCAACGCCGGACAUCUCACCAGCUCCGACAGU